This 483-nucleotide ribosomal RNA is filed under the name uncultured bacterium. RNAcentral's name for it is "partial 16S ribosomal RNA". It matches the Rfam family "Bacterial small subunit ribosomal RNA", at positions 29 to 506 of the family's 1533-position model. The record is from RNAcentral.
AUUGAACGCUGGCGGCAUGCUUUACACAUGCAAGUCGAACGGCAGCGCGGGCUUCGGCCUGGCGGCGAGUGGCGAACGGGUGAGUAAUACAUCGGAACGUGCCCAGUAGUGGGGGAUAGCUCGGCGAAAGCCGGAUUAAUACCGCAUACGACCUGAGGGUGAAAGCGGGGGAUCUUCGGACCUCGCGCUAUUGGAGCGGCCGAUGGCAGAUUAGCUAGUUGGUGGGGUAAAGGCCUACCAAGGCGACGAUCUGUAGCUGGUCUGAGAGGACGACCAGCCACACUGGGACUGAGACACGGCCCAGACUCCUACGGGAGGCAGCAGUGGGGAAUUUUGGACAAUGGGCGAAAGCCUGAUCCAGCAAUGCCGCGUGUGUGAUGAAGGCCUUCGGGUUGUAAAGCACUUUUGGCGGGAACGAAAAGGACUGUGCCAAUACCACGGUUCGAGGACGGUACCCGCAGAAUAAACACCGGCGAACUACGU